AUGAUCUUCCAGCCUGGCAUCCCGACCCGAAAGUUGGACGAUGUUGCUGCAGGUCAAACAUCAACUUCCACUGUAGCAGAUCCGACAACAAAUGCAACAAAGGUUUGGACCAAGCUUUGGAGUUUGAAAAUGCCUAGGAAAAUCAUCAUGUUCCUUUGGAGAUUGAGUCACAACACCCUUCCUGUCCGGUUAAAUCUUAAACAUCGUGGAAUUGACCUGGAUACCAUCUGUCCGAUGUGCAAUCGCCUUGACGAGGAUGGUGGCCAUGCCUUCCUCAAAUGUAAAUUUUCAAAGGCUCUUUGGCGGGAAGCUAAACAGGAGCAUGUAAGGGGUUUGCUUCUCAGUUGUACUGAUGCAAAACAAUCAGUCGAAACUCUACUAAGCCUGGAGAAUGCGACAUCCAUGUUCUGUAUUUGUUUGAUGUGGAAUUUGUGGAAUGCUAGAAAUGCAGUUAAUAAUGGUGAUAGGUGUCCGUCAGCAGCGGCUAUCGUUUCCUCUACUGCUAUACAAGUUACAGAAUUUUCUAAACAUCUUCAUAUACCUUCAUGUUCAGUUAUUGCCCCUAAUGAGCGCUGGUCUAAGCCUCCUGACGACUUCCUAAAGAUAAACAUUGAUGGUUCGUUCCUAAAAGAUAACAGUACAGGAGGUUGGGGUUUUUGUGUUAGGGAUGCUUCUGGAGAUGUCGUCGGUGCUGGCAUGGGCCAAAUCCACUUCCUGUCGGAUGCUUUGCAUGCAGAGUCGAUAGCUUGUCUGAAGGCGAUUGAGUUUGCUACUGAAGUUGGGUUUGGGCUUAUCAUCAUUGAAACAGACUCCACAGUGCUAGCCACAGCUCUUCUUUCCAAUGAAUUGGAUACUGCUCGUAUCGGAAUUCUCUUUUGGGAGGCAACAUUUCUUCUUUUUACUAGCUUUAUUGAGUUUAAAGUGCAUGUGUGUAAGCGUGCCUGUAACUCGGUGGCACAUGUUCUGGCUACCCAUGGUGCCCAUAUGUCCCAGGGAGGUACCAUGUAUUGGCAUGACGCUGUUCCUGACAUUGUAUCUUCUGUGGUGGCUAGCGAUCUAGCUGCUUCUGCUUCUGUAUGUUAA
Molecule: ribosomal RNA, 1083 nt
Filed under: Triticum aestivum (bread wheat)
Lineage: Eukaryota; Viridiplantae; Streptophyta; Magnoliopsida; Poales; Poaceae
Description: partial small subunit ribosomal RNA
Source: RNAcentral